This 1542-nucleotide long non-coding RNA is filed under the name Equus caballus (horse). RNAcentral's name for it is "lncRNA (ENSECAG00000055183.1)". The record is from RNAcentral. Lineage: Eukaryota; Metazoa; Chordata; Mammalia; Perissodactyla; Equidae.
GGUGGCCCCGCGGAUCCCGCCCUCAGGCUCUGCGUUUGCGAGUGGCCACGGGACACAGACUUCCGGAGCUGUGGAAGCCUUGCCGGGCACUGCGGAUCUAGAGAUGGAUUCGGGGGUCCCUGCCCCGGGGCCCAGUGCUGCCGAGGAGGCAGACUGCAGCCCCCUCCCCGGGCCGCUGUGCCUCUGUGGGACACCCACUGCACGAGGCCAGGCCGGGGCUCAGAGCAUCGGGCACCACGGUCCCCGCCUCCCAGAGCCUCAGCCAGCAGGACGUGGACGAGGAAGGAGCACAGACAGCGUGCUGUGGCUGGUGGGGCGGUAGAGCGCUGGGGUCCUUGGGGAGCCGUGCAGGGCCCAGCGCCUCGGGGAUGGCGGCCUGGUGGCUCCCGCCUGCUGGCGGCAUCCAGUUCCAGAAGCAGCUUCCGAAUGUGGCUUCACCUCUGACAGCGUUUCUGAGCCGCGUUCCCGGCCGCCUCAUCCCUUGGGAGGUGAGCAGGCGACGCUCGAGUCCGCAGCACCGCGCUCGGGCCCUCUCCGGAGACCUCAGUGGAGCCCUCGCUGUACCUGCCCAUGGCCACUGACUAAAACAUGGGAUAAAGGAAGAGCGAGAAUGGUGACACCUUGGGACUCCAAGGGUCAGUUAUUUCCAAUCAGAGGACCACGGAAGCCUGCCUGGAGGUGGUGACAUCUGGACCAAGUCUAAAGGGUGAAUCUACACAGAACAGGGCAGCCAGAGGUCGCACCUCAGCCAUGCGGGGGGCGGCGGGAGCCUGGACCGGCCACCACGGAGCAGACAGGAGCGAGUGUCGGCAAGUGGUUCAACAGGUGCAGCAUCCGCUCAGAGAGAGGGGAUCACGGAGACCAUUUCAGAGACGGCCUGCCACAAAUACUUUUAUCUCUUCCCACGUGCUUGCUAGUUGCGAUGACGUGGCCAUCAGUAAUGAGGACUUGAGCACAAUUAGUUCAUUGCCACCAAAGUUGUAUUUUUUUAGUUUAUCUGUGAAACUGAAAUCAGUUUAUAAAUGAAUGAGCUUAAGUGGGGAACUGUGGAAAGACGAGCACAGCCGGGCAUUGCUUUGUGAUGGGGUGCGUCCUGAGAAACGUGCUUCAGCCGAUGUUGUCGUGCGUACAGCAUAGUGUGUCCUGAAGGGGAGCAAAAUUCGCCACCUCAAAAUGCGUCUCUUUCACAUGUGGAUUAUUUUAGGCUGAUCAUUUUUAAGAAACAAAAGACUAAGUUUUUCUCGUUACCUCCCCUUAACUGCCUAAAAGGAUUCAGAUAAAAAACCUGUCUCAGGAAGCCAGCUGUCACCUUGGCAUAAGUGAACGAGGUGGCAGACGGGGAGGAACCUAGAAAAGCCCGUUUGUUGGGCUCCCCUCUGUGUUCUUCUGUUUCUGUGCGGCCAAACGCUUGUUUUCCAAACGUUUGCUUCUUUUCCUGCCUGUGAAUUGCCUUCCUUCCCUUUGAAGUCUCUGACUCUCCCCACGCCCAACACCUUCUUUUGUCUUUAACUAAGGAUGAUAUUUAAGGUGAGGGCUCUGGGC